GGGCAGAAUGGGCGCAAGCCUGAUGCAGCCUGCCGCGUGUAUGAAGAAGGCCUUCGGGUUGUAAAGUACUUUCAGCGGGGAGGAAGGGAGUAAAGUUAAUACCUUUGCUCAUUGACGUUACCCGCAGAAGAAGCACCGGCUAACUCCGUGCCAGCAGCCGCGGUAAUU
Molecule: ribosomal RNA, 168 nt
Filed under: uncultured bacterium
Lineage: Bacteria
Description: partial 16S ribosomal RNA
Rfam family: Bacterial small subunit ribosomal RNA
Source: RNAcentral